GGGGAAUAUUGGGCAAUGGCGGAAGGCUGGCCCAGGAACGGCCGCGGAAGGGAAGAAGGCUUUGGGUUGUUAACUUUCUUUUACCAGGGACGAAACUGUGACGUUACGGGAGGAAUACGCUCCGGCUACCUAGUUGCCAGCAGCCGCGGUAAUACGUAGGGAGCAAGCGUUAUCCGGAUUUACUGGGUGUAAAGGGCGCGUAGGCGGGAGUAUAAGUCAGAUGUGAAAUCUGGGGGCUCAACCCCCAAACUGCAUUUGAAACUGUAUUUCUUGAGUGAUGGAGAGGCAAGUGGAAUUCCUAGUGUAGCGGUGAAAUGCGUAGAUAUACGGAGGAACACCAGUGGCGAAGGCGGAUUGCUGGACGAUAACUGACGCUGAGGCGCGAAAGCGUGGGGAGCAAACA
RNAcentral lists this ribosomal RNA (403 nucleotides) under uncultured Oscillospiraceae bacterium. RNAcentral describes it as "bacterial SSU rRNA". It matches the Rfam family "Bacterial small subunit ribosomal RNA", at positions 356 to 774 of the family's 1533-position model. Lineage: Bacteria; Bacillati; Bacillota; Clostridia; Eubacteriales; Oscillospiraceae. The record is from RNAcentral.